GGAUCCAGACUUUGAUUAUGGCUCAGAACGAACGCUGGCGGCAGGCCUAACACAUGCAAGUCGAGCGCGCCCUUCGGGGUGAGCGGCGGACGGGUUAGUAACGCGUGGGAACGUGCCCUUUGGUACGGAAUAGCCUCUGGAAACGGAGAGUAAUACCGUAUGAGCCCUUCGGGGGAAAGAUUUAUCGCCAAAGGAUCGGCCCGCGUUAGAUUAGGUAGUUGGUGGGGUAAUGGCCUACCAAGCCUACGAUCUAUAGCUGGUUUUAGAGGAUGAUCAGCAACACUGGGACUGAGACACGGCCCAGACUCCUACGGGAGGCAGCAGUGGGGAAUCUUGGACAAUGGGGGCAACCCUGAUCCAGCCAUGCCGCGUGAGUGAUGAAGGCCUUAGGGUCGUAAAGCUCUUUCGCCUGUGAAGAUAAUGACGGU
Molecule: ribosomal RNA, 428 nt
Filed under: uncultured bacterium
Lineage: Bacteria
Description: bacterial SSU rRNA
Rfam family: Bacterial small subunit ribosomal RNA
Source: RNAcentral